Molecule: ribosomal RNA, 441 nt
Filed under: uncultured Acidimicrobiales bacterium
Lineage: Bacteria; Bacillati; Actinomycetota; Acidimicrobiia; Acidimicrobiales
Description: bacterial SSU rRNA
Rfam family: Bacterial small subunit ribosomal RNA
Source: RNAcentral
CCUACGGGGGGCUGCAGUGGGGAAUCUUGCGCAAUGGGCGAAAGCCUGACGCAGCAACGCCGCGUGGGGGAUGAAGGCCCUCGGGUUGUAAACCCCUUUCAGCAGGGACGAAUCAAGACGGUACCUGCAGAAGAAGCCCCGGCUAACUACGUGCCAGCAGCCGCGGUAACACGUAGGGGGCAAGCGUUGUCCGGAUUUAUUGGGCGUAAAGAGCUCGUAGGCGGCUGAGUAAGUCGGGUGUUAAAUCCCCAGGCUCAACCUGGGACACCACCCGAUACUGCUCUGGCUAGAGUCCGGUAGGGGAGCGUGGAAUUCCUGGUGUAGCGGUGAAAUGCGCAGAUAUCAGGAGGAACACCAGCGGCGAAGGCGGCGCUCUGGGCCGUAACUGACGCUGAGGAGCGAAAGCGUGGGUAGCAAACAGGAUUAGAUACCCUAGUAGUC